Molecule: ribosomal RNA, 251 nt
Filed under: uncultured Prevotella sp.
Lineage: Bacteria; Pseudomonadati; Bacteroidota; Bacteroidia; Bacteroidales; Prevotellaceae
Description: partial 16S ribosomal RNA
Rfam family: Bacterial small subunit ribosomal RNA
Source: RNAcentral
GCGUCGACCGGCGCACGGGUGAGUAACGCGUAUCCAACCUGCCCAUUACAGGGGAAUAACCUUGCGAAAGUAAGACUAAUGCCCCAUGGUAUUCUCAGCAGACAUCUAAUGAGGAUUAAAGAUUUAUCGGUAAUGGAUGGGGAUGCGUCUGAUUAGCUUGUUGGCGGGGUAACGGCCCACCAAGGCAACGAUCAGUAGGGGUUCUGAGAGGAAGGUCCCCCACAUUGGAACUGAGACACGGUCCAAACUCC